This is a long non-coding RNA of Bombus terrestris (buff-tailed bumblebee), 1965 nucleotides long. RefSeq lists it as uncharacterized. NCBI's taxonomy places the organism in Eukaryota, Metazoa, Arthropoda, Insecta, Hymenoptera, Apidae. The record is from RefSeq and is a predicted model, not a curated record. The transcript is spliced from 2 exons.
GCGGAAAUCCGGCAUUCAUAUAUAUAACAAUAGUCGACUCUAGAAUCGACUCUGUCUCCUCUAAUACAAAAUAUGGCUUCCGAUGUAGUAUUGCUAUGUUAUUCAACACGGUUAAUACUAGAAUUGGUUAAUCAUUCCAAAACUAAAUCGUGAAAAAUCAAUAUUAAAGGAAAAAAGGUUCAUGUUUUGCGCAUGCGUGAUAUGCUGUGAAUGUCUCACACAGAAACAACGACAUCUCUAUCCGUCUGCCUGUCUUGCAAAAACGGAAAUAUCGUUUUCUUUCAUGUUAAACUUUCAAUUCAAUCGUAUAUCAGUAGAGUUCAAUUGAAAACAUGAGAUCGCGCCGCACGAUGGAAACUGAAAUUUGAAAAAUAGUGUACCACAGCUGACGAGUAUUUACAACUCGAUCGGAGCGCCGAUACUGGGAAUUGGGAAAACGCACCGCGUCGCUAAAAGGAAUUAUCUCACCACGGGAAUUCCCAGAACACCUAUCUCCUUCGUUAGUAACGAUUUAAAGUGUAAAAAUUUAUCUGAUGCGUAAAACAGAGUAAUCCAUACAGUAGACUUAGAGUAUCAAAUUUUAAAUAAGUCUUAAACAUUUAUGCCUGGACUGAAAAUCAUUGUAUUUCGUCUCUAUUUGUCGGGUACUGUCAGAAAAUACGAAAAAACUUGUAAAAGAAGUGGUAUCCCGUAGCGAAGUUUAACCUUGGACGAUAUUUUAUGUUUUUUCAAGGUCAUUGAGGCCCGACUGCUCGUUUUCAUCAUUUUUCUCGUUAUAUAUUACAUUUACAUCAUAACAAGGUAAUUAAGAAGGUUUCGUCAAAAUCCACGAGGGCGUCAUACAUCGACAGAUUCAUUGAUAAAGGAAUAGGGGUCUGGCUAUUUCUGAUAUUUUCAACAUAGUCAUAGAAAUGAGUACGCGUAUUGGCCGAAAGUGCCAUAUAUACAAAUAAUACAAUACGCAGUAACGCAUAACGAUAGAGAGCAGUAACUUCCUUGCUUCUGUGGCCCGUUGGGUCGUUAACACUGCAUAGUACGUACGUACAUAGGAAGGAUGAUAUGAGAUAAAUAAUGAUCAAUGUUGGAUCUAGAAAUUUGGGAGUAAUUUUUAAAUUCACCGGUCGAAAAUUAUCACAUAACAUAAAUAAAAACUAUAAAUAAAAGUUGUGUCCUGAAACAAAAUUCAAUGCUUUUUUUUUUUUUUUUUUUUUUUUUUUAGGACAAAAAUUCAAUUCACAAUUUUAACUUGGAUCGGCAAUAAAGUUUCGAGUUCAUUUUAUAUAUUUACAUUAAAAAUAAUAAUUUUAAGAACAGUUGUACUAAUUAAAUUCUACAAGUUUUUAAGCCUAGAACGGAACAAAUGUAAUAAUAUGGGCAAGAGACACGAUAUAAUCAAAAUUAAUAUAUCACAUUUCUUUUGCAUAUAUUAUAUCUUAAAUAUUAAUAACUAUACUGAGAUUCGUAGACAUCCAAAAUUAUUUUGUUACAUAAUUAUUAUUAUUUGUAAUUAUCAUUCGAAUAUAUAUAUUUCAAAUUAUAUGUAUAGUGAAUGUACGAGCGUACAAUGAAAAUUUGAAUACAAUAAUUAAAUAACAAUAUCCUAAUUUUGUACAUACUUAGAUUUUAAUGGAACCAUCAGUGUAUCAUAUUUAUGCAUAUAUCAGUGAGUAACGAUUCAUAACAAUUAGCAAAACUUUCUGUUCUUUACAUAUUUAAUUUAUUCUAUGUACUUGUACAUGAUCGUACAAAUUUUUUAAAUGUAAAAUCAUUUAAAUUGUUGCAAGAGUUCGUGGAAAUGUCCCAUCCAUAAAUUCAGUGAAAUAAUGUUCAAUAAAUGUUGCAACGAUUUGUUCUAUAGUUAUUCAAGUAAAAAUUGCACGACAAUCAAGGCUUUUGAUGAAAAUAAUAAUAAUGUUUAUGAAUGUAAGUCACUUAAUAAAUACAUAUUUACAUAAUCUCAAUAUA